CUUGUACAUUCAGUGUUGUUUCUGUGAUUUCAAAUCCAACAACAUUCGUGGAUUCACAUAUAUAGGUCCCUGCAUCCUCCACUUUAACACUUUUAAUAUGGAUAACUUCAUUAUAACUUUCUAACUCCAGACCCUUCUUCUUUAGGAUGAUCUCAGGUUGUGGAAAUGCUGUUGAUUUGCAGACGAUGCUGAUUGGUUCUCCUUCCUUCACCGAUGAUGAUGGUAGGAUGAUUAGUUGUGUGUUUUUGGGUGGAACUGUUGAGAGAGAGAUCACAAUUUAGAAACUCUUUGGAGGAAUAGAUCAAUGCUACCAGUGGCCAAAAUAUAGAGCCACAGGUAUAGUAGAACUACAACACUGCCAAAGUAUCAAUGGAGUUGUAGUUUUGCAGCCCUGAAACUGAUGAGAGAAAGGACGCAAUAGAAAAUUAGCAUUGUAUGGCUUUAUAGAAUUAGAAAGCACUCAAUAUUGUAAUUUACUUUUUGGAUUUUUGGGAGCCAAUUGUUUACAAAUAUAAACAAUAUAAUGUUAAAAUGUAUAACAUUAUGCAACUCUUUAUUACAAAGAAAUUUAUUCUCAGUUUCGAAUGCACAUUUGUAGCUUUCAUACCUUGUACGAUGAGUGUGUCUUCUGUACUUUCAAUUCCAAUAUGAUUCCUUGAUUCACAUAUAUAGGUUCCUGCAUGCUCUGCUGUAGCACUUUGAAUCCGGUGUUCUCCUUGAGCAAUUUGUAACUCAUGUAGGCCGACAUCAGUCUUCUUCUUUAGGAUGAUCUCAGGUGGUGGAAAUGCUGUUGAAUUGCAGAAGAUGCUGAUUGAUUCUCCUUCCUUCACCGAUGAUGAUGGCAGGAUGAUUAGUUGUGUGUUUGUGGGUGAAACU
This is a non-coding RNA of Pelobates cultripes (western spadefoot toad), 876 nucleotides long. The record is from the annotation of a GenBank genome assembly. Lineage: Eukaryota; Metazoa; Chordata; Amphibia; Anura; Pelobatidae.